UCCCUAGAGGACUAGUGGUUAGGCUACAGGGCUCUCACCGCUAUGGCCUGGGUUUGAGCCCCGGCCAGGGAA
Molecule: non-coding RNA, 72 nt
Organism: Pangasianodon gigas (Mekong giant catfish)
Lineage: Eukaryota; Metazoa; Chordata; Actinopteri; Siluriformes; Pangasiidae
Source: the annotation of a GenBank genome assembly